UGGGGAAUAUCGGACAAUGGACCAAGAGUCUGAUCCAGCAAUUCUGUGUGCACGAUGAAGUUUUUCGGAAUGUAAAGUGCUUUCAGUUGGGAAGAAAAAAAUGACGGUACCAACAGAAGAAGUGACGGCUAAAUACGUGCCAGCAGCCGCGGUAAUACGUAUGUCACAAGCGUUAUCCGGAUUUAUUGGGCGUAAAGUGCGUCUAGGUGGUUAUGUAAGUCUGAUGUGAAAAUGCAGGGCUCAACUCUGUAUUGCGUUGGAAACUGUAUAACUAGAGUACUGGAGAGGUAAGCGGAACUACAAGUGUAGAGGUGAAAUUCGUAGAUAUUUGUAGGAAUGCCGAUGGGGAAGCCAGCUUACUGGACAGAUACUGACGCUGAAGCGCGAAAGCGUGGGUAGCAAACAGGAUUAGAUACCCUGGUAGUCCAUGCCGUAAACGAUGAUUACUAGGUGUUGGGGGUCGAACCUCAGCGCCCAAGCAAACGCGAUAAGUAAUCCGCCUGGGGAGUACGUACGCAAGUAUG
Molecule: ribosomal RNA, 524 nt
Filed under: uncultured bacterium
Lineage: Bacteria
Description: bacterial SSU rRNA
Rfam family: Bacterial small subunit ribosomal RNA
Source: RNAcentral